GACGAACGCUGGCGGCGUGCUUAACACAUGCAAGUCGAACGGAAAGGCCCUGCUUUUGUGGGGUGCUCGAGUGGCGAACGGGUGAGUAACACGUGAGUAACCUGCCCUUGACUUUGGGAUAACUUCAGGAAACUGGGGCUAAUACCGGAUAGGAGCUCCUGCUGCAUGGUGGGGGUUGGAAUGUUUCGGCGGUUGGGGAUGGACUCGCGGCUUAUGAGCUUGUUGGUGGGGUAGUGGCUUACCAAGGCUUUGACGGGUAGCCGGCCUGAGAGGGAGAACGGCCACAGUGGGACUGAGACACGGACCAGACUCCUACGGGAGGCAGCGGUGGAGAAUAUUGAACAAUGGGCGAGAGCCUGAUGCAGCAACGCCGCGUGCGGGAUGACGGCCUUCGGGUUAUAAACCGCUUUCGCCUGUGACGAAGCGUGAGUGACGGUAAUGGGUAAAGAAGCACCGGCUAACUACGUG
RNAcentral lists this ribosomal RNA (468 nucleotides) under uncultured bacterium. RNAcentral describes it as "partial 16S ribosomal RNA". It matches the Rfam family "Bacterial small subunit ribosomal RNA", at positions 28 to 507 of the family's 1533-position model. The record is from RNAcentral.